UACAGAGGUGGCAAGCGUUGUUCGGAAUUACUGGGCGUAAAGGGCGCGUAGGCGGCCUUCUAAGUCAGACGUGAAAUCCCCCGGCUUAACCUGGGAACUGCAUCUGAUACUGGGAGGCUUGAGUAUGGGAGAGGGAUGUAGAAUUCCAGGUGUAGCGGUGAAAUGCGUAGAUAUCUGGAGGAAUACCGGUGGCGAAGGCGGCAUCCUGGACCAUUACUGACGCUGAGGCGCGAAAGCUAGGGGAGCAAACGGG
Molecule: ribosomal RNA, 253 nt
Filed under: uncultured bacterium
Lineage: Bacteria
Description: partial 16S ribosomal RNA
Rfam family: Bacterial small subunit ribosomal RNA
Source: RNAcentral